CAGUCGCCGCGGGAAUACGUAGGUGGCGAGCGUUGUCCGGAUUUAUUGGGCGUAAAGGGAGUGUAGGCGGUCUUUUAAGUCUGAUGUGAAAGCCCACGGCUCAAUCGUGGAGGGUCAUUGGAAACUGGGAGACUUGAGUGCAGAAGAGGAGAGCGGAAUUCCAUGUGUAGCGGUGAAAUGCGUAGAGAUGUGGAGGAACACCAGUGGCGGAGGCGACUCUCUGGUCUGUAACCGACGCUGAGGAGCGAAAGCGUGGGGAGCGAACAGGAUUAGAUACCCCAGUAGUCCCUGUCUCUUAUAC
RNAcentral lists this ribosomal RNA (301 nucleotides) under uncultured bacterium. RNAcentral's name for it is "partial 16S ribosomal RNA". It matches the Rfam family "Bacterial small subunit ribosomal RNA", at positions 509 to 807 of the family's 1533-position model. The record is from RNAcentral.